RNAcentral lists this ribosomal RNA (429 nucleotides) under bacterium. RNAcentral describes it as "partial 16S ribosomal RNA". It matches the Rfam family "Bacterial small subunit ribosomal RNA", at positions 355 to 776 of the family's 1533-position model. The record is from RNAcentral.
UAGGGAAUCUUCGGCAAUGGGGGCAACCCUGACCGAGCAACGCCGCGUGAGUGAAGAAGGUUUUCGGAUCGUAAAGCUCUGUUGUAAGAGAAGAACGUGUGUGAGAGUGGAAAGUUCACACAGUGACGGUAACUUACCAGAAAGGGACGGCUAACUACGUGCCAGCAGCCGCGGUAAUACGUAGGUCCCGAGCGUUGUCCGGAUUUAUUGGGCGUAAAGCGAGCGCAGGCGGUUUAAUAAGUCUGAAGUUAAAGGCAGUGGCUUAACCAUUGUUCGUUUUGGAAACUGUUAAACUUGAGUGCAGAAGGGGAGAGUGGAAUUCCAUGUGUAGCGGUGAAAUGCGUAGAUAUAUGGAGGAACACCGGUGGCGAAAGCGGCUCUCUGGUCUGUAACUGACGCUGAGGCUCGAAAGCGUGGGGAGCAAACAGG